This 1372-nucleotide ribosomal RNA is filed under the name uncultured bacterium. Its description in RNAcentral is "bacterial SSU rRNA". It matches the Rfam family "Bacterial small subunit ribosomal RNA", at positions 28 to 1381 of the family's 1533-position model. The record is from RNAcentral.
GAUGAACGCUGGCGGCGUGCCUAAUACAUGCAAGUCGAGCGAACAGACAAGGAGCUUGCUCCUUUGACGUUAGCGGCGGACGGGUGAGUAACACGUGGGUAACCUACCUAUAAGACUGGGAUAACUUCGGGAAACCGGAGCUAAUACCGGAUAAUAUUUCGAACCGCAUGGUUCGAUAGUGAAAGAUGGUUUUGCUAUCACUUAUAGAUGGACCCGCGCCGUAUUAGCUAGUUGGUAAGGUAACGGCCUACCAAGGCGACGAUACGUAGCCGACCUGAGAGGGUGAUCGGCCACACUGGAACUGAGACACGGUCCAGACUCCUACGGGAGGCAGCAGUAGGGAAUCUUCCGCAAUGGGCGAAAGCCUGACGGAGCAACGCCGCGUGAGUGAUGAAGGUCUUCGGAUCGUAAAACUCUGUUAUUAGGGAAGAACAUACGUGUAAGUAACUAUGCACGUCUUGACGGUACCUAAUCGGAAAGCCACGGCUAACUACGUGCCAGCAGCCGCGGUAAUACGUAGGUGGCAAGCGUUAUCCGGAAUUAUUGGGCGUAAAGCGCGCGUAGGCGGUUUUUUAAGUCUGAUGUGAAAGCCCACGGCUCAACCGUGGAGGGUCAUUGGAAACUGGAAAACUUGAGUGCAGAAGAGGAAAGUGGAAUUCCAUGUGUAGCGGUGAAAUGCGCAGAGAUAUGGAGGAACACCAGUGGCGAAGGCGACUUUCUGGUCUGUAACUGACGCUGAUGUGCGAAAGCGUGGGGAUCAAACAGGAUUAGAUACCCUGGUAGUCCACGCCGUAAACGAUGAGUGCUAAGUGUUAGGGGGUUUCCGCCCCUUAGUGCUGCAGCUAACGCAUUAAGCACUCCGCCUGGGGAGUACGACCGCAAGGUUGAAACUCAAAGGAAUUGACGGGGACCCGCACAAGCGGUGGAGCAUGUGGUUUAAUUCGAAGCAACGCGAAGAACCUUACCAAAUCUUGACAUCCUUUGACAACUCUAGAGAUAGAGCUUUCCCCUUCGGGGGACAAAGUGACAGGUGGUGCAUGGUUGUCGUCAGCUCGUGUCGUGAGAUGUUGGGUUAAGUCCCGCAACGAGCGCAACCCUUAAGCUUAGUUGCCAUCAUUAAGUUGGGCACUCUAAGUUGACUGCCGGUGACAAACCGGAGGAAGGUGGGGAUGACGUCAAAUCAUCAUGCCCCUUAUGAUUUGGGCUACACACGUGCUACAAUGGACAAUACAAAGGGCAGCGAAACCGCGAGGUCAAGCAAAUCCCAUAAAGUUGUUCUCAGUUCGGAUUGUAGUCUGCAACUCGACUACAUGAAGCUGGAAUCGCUAGUAAUCGUAGAUCAGCAUGCUACGGUGAAUACGUUCCCGGGUCU